This 253-nucleotide ribosomal RNA is filed under the name uncultured bacterium. RNAcentral's name for it is "partial 16S ribosomal RNA". It matches the Rfam family "Bacterial small subunit ribosomal RNA", at positions 524 to 776 of the family's 1533-position model. The record is from RNAcentral.
UACAGAGGGUGCGAGCGUUAAUCGGAAUUACUGGGCGUAAAGCGUGCGUAGACGGUUAUGUAAGUCAGGUGUGAAAGCCCCGGGCUCAACCUGGGAAUUGCAUUUGAGACUGCAUAGCUAGGGUGCGGAAGAGGGAAGCGGAAUUUCCGGUGUAGCGGUGAAAUGCGUAGAUAUUGGGAAGAACACCUGAGGCGAAGGCGGGUUGCUGGGCCGACACUGACGCUGAGGCGCGAAAGCCAGGGGAGCAAACGGG